This 876-nucleotide ribosomal RNA is filed under the name Enterococcus thailandicus. RNAcentral's name for it is "bacterial SSU rRNA". The record is from RNAcentral. Lineage: Bacteria; Bacillati; Bacillota; Bacilli; Lactobacillales; Enterococcaceae.
UGCAAGUCGUACGCUUUUUCUUUCACCGGAGCUUGCUCCACCGAAAGAAAAGGAGUGGCGAACGGGUGAGUAACACGUGGGUAACCUGCCCAUCAGAAGGGGAUAACACUUGGAAACAGGUGCUAAUACCGUAUAACAAUCGAAACCGCAUGGUUUUGAUUUGAAAGGCGCUUUCGGGUGUCRCUGAUGGAUGGACCCGCGGUGCAUUAGCUAGUUGGUGAGGUAACGGCUCACCAAGGCCACGAUGCAUAGCCGACCUGAGAGGGUGAUCGGCCACAUUGGGACUGAGACACGGCCCAAACUCCUACGGGAGGCAGCAGUAGGGAAUCUUCGGCAAUGGACGAAAGUCUGACCGAGCAACGCCGCGUGAGUGAAGAAGGUUUUCGGAUCGUAAAACUCUGUUGUUAGAGAAGAACAAGGAUGAGAGUAACUGUUCAUCCCUUGACGGUAUCUAACCAGAAAGCCACGGCUAACUACGUGCCAGCAGCCGCGGUAAUACGUAGGUGGCAAGCGUUGUCCGGAUUUAUUGGGCGUAAAGCGAGCGCAGGCGGUUUCUUAAGUCUGAUGUGAAAGCCCCCGGCUCAACCGGGGAGGGUCAUUGGAAACUGGGAGACUUGAGUGCAGAAGAGGAGAGUGGAAUUCCAUGUGUAGCGGUGAAAUGCGUAGAUAUAUGGAGGAACACCAGUGGCGAAGGCGACUCUCUGGUCUGUAACUGACGCUGAGGCUCGAAAGCGUGGGGAGCAAACAGGAUUAGAUACCCUGGUAGUCCACGCCGUAAACGAUGAGUGCUAAGUGUUGGAGGGUUUCCGCCCUUCAGUGCUGCAGCUAACGCAUUAAGCACUCCGCCUGGGGAGUACGACCGCAAGGUUGAAACUC